RNAcentral lists this ribosomal RNA (777 nucleotides) under uncultured archaeon. RNAcentral describes it as "bacterial SSU rRNA". It matches the Rfam family "Archaeal small subunit ribosomal RNA", at positions 88 to 865 of the family's 1478-position model. The record is from RNAcentral.
GCUCAGUAACACGUGGAUAACCUACCCUUAGGACCGGGAUAACCUUGGGAAACUGAGGAUAAUACUGGAUAGACAAUUAUUCCUGCAAUGGUUUUUUGUUUAAAUGUUUUUUCGCCUAAGGAUGGGUCUGCGGCCGAUUAGGUAGUUGGUUAGGUAACGGCUUACCAAGCCAUUGAUCGGUACGGGUUGUGAGAGCAAGAGCCCGGAGAUGGAACCUGAGACAAGGUUCCAGGCCCUACGGGGUGCAGCAGGCGCGAAACCUCCGCAAUGUGAGAAAUCGCGACGGGGGGAUCCCAAGUGCCAUUCUUAACGGGAUGGCUUUUCAUUAGUGUAAAGAGCUUUUGGAAUAAGGGCUGGGCAAGACCGGUGCCAGCCGCCGCGGUAACACCGGCAGCUCUAGUGGUAGCAGUUUUUAUUGGGCCUAAAGCGUCCGUAGCCGGUUUAAUAAGUCUCUGGUGAAAUCCUGUAGCUUAACUGUGGGAAUUGCUGGAGAUACUAUUAGACUUGAGACCGGGAGAGGUUAGAGGUACUCCCGGGGUAGAGGUGAAAUUCUGUAAUCCUGGAAGGACCGCCUGUUGCGAAGGCUUCUAACUGGAACGGUUCUGACGGUGAGGGACGAAAGUUAGGGGCGCGAACCGGAUUAGAUACCCGGGUAGUCCUAACCGUAAACGAUGCGGACUUGGUGUUGGGGUGGCUUUGAGCUGCUCCAGUGCCGAAAGGAAGCUGUUAAGUCCGCCGCCUGGGAAGUACGGUCGCAAGACUGAAACUUAAAGGAAU